GGGAUCUCUAGAGAGACAUGUCUGAAUUAAAAAGAGAUGUUCAAUAUAAAGUAGUUUUGUACUUGGAAAAUGGAAAAAUAACCAUGUUGUUUUCAUAAUAUCAAUUUCAAACAGGGACAAACCAUCUUCACUACAAAAUCUUUUAUAUUAGCCUUAAGCAAAAGGUACUGGGGCAUAACUCCAGGUGGUGAUGGAGAACAUGAAUGGGCUAUCAGAAUCUCCCUGGGGAAGGCUGAGAUUUUAUGAAUGAAAAAGACUGAGAAAAAUAGUCAUGCCUGUAUCUUAGGUUCUGUGUUGAGAAUUCUAAGUAGAAAAUAACAGCAAAUUAAAUAGUUACACUACAUAGCAUUAUCUUGGAAUAUUUGUUACUAGAUCUGCCAUAUUGGUUAGCUAGGCUUUUUAAGAUUUAAUUGAAUCAUUCAUUAUAUGUUUAUACUUUUAGAACCUACUUACGGUUCGAUUUAAAAUGCUCUGACUUGUUUGAAUAUAGUUCAAUACUUCUCCUUCAGUUAUUUUUAACACAGUGCCAUACAUUCUGUGAUCACCAAGGUAUCAAUUGAAUAGAAUAAACUACUACGCAAACUACCAUUAUUCCCCUUAAUCCAUGUCUUCAUUAUUACCUUGUAUUGGAUGUGAAUCUGUGAUUAUUUGUGCAUGAAUUAACUCUUUUUUUCCUUAACCCCUGUGGUAUAGUUUUGGUGGCAUUAAUUUGGAGGAUCUCAACUUUAGUACAGGAGUUUACUUUUGUGUCUUGUUUGCUACUGUAAUGAGUAAUUUAAAAAAGUUUUUCUUACUCAUAGCAUAGAUUCCAGCCUCAAAAUCCUCUCUCAGGAGCCCAGCAAUUUGUGGCAAAGGAUCCCCAAGAUGAUGACGACUUGAAACUUUGUUCCCACACAAUGAUGCUUCCCACUCGAGGCCAGCUUGAAGGGAGAAUGAUAGUGACUGCUUAUGAGCAUGGGCUGGACAAUGUCACCGAGGAGGCUGUUUCAGCUGUUGUCUAUGCUGUGGAGAAUCACCUUAAAGAUAUACUGACGUCAGUUGUGUCAAGAAGGAAAGCUUAUCGGUUACGAGAUGGUCAUUUUAAAUAUGCCUUUGGCAGUAACGUGACCCCGCAGCCAUACCUGAAGAAUAGUGUAGUAGCUUACAACAACUUAAUAGAAAGCCCUCCAGCUUUUACUGCUCCCUGUGCUGGUCAGAAUCCAGCUUCUCACCCACCCCCUGAUGAUGCUGAGCAGCAGGCUGCACUCCUGCUGGCAUGCUCCGGAGACACUCUACCUGCAUCUUUGCCUCCGGUGAACAUGUACGAUCUCUUUGAAGCUUUGCAGGUGCACAGGGAAGUCAUCCCUACACAUACUGUCUAUGCUCUUAACAUUGAAAGGAUCAUCACGAAACUCUGGCAUCCAAAUCAUGAAGAGCUGCAGCAAGACAAAGUUCACCGCCAGCGCUUGGCAGCCAAGGAGGGGCUUUUGCUGUGCUAAAUUAGGAUUUGAGGGUGUGGGACCCUCACCAAAUUCAUUGAUUACUGAAAAUUGAAUGUUUUUUGGGUCCACAUUUCAAGGCUGAAGUGUAUAGUGUAUAUAUAACCUUUCCUAUGGAAAUGUGACAUUGAGUACAUUUUGUGUUGCUAUUGUGAAGCCAUUAAUAUAAAUCUUUGGUAAUGACCCAUAUCUCUAUGUGUUCCCAGUUGUGGGAGCAGGCACUAAUGAAAUCCUGUGCCUGGAAUGGAGAUAUUUAGGUACCUGAGGCUUAGUGUCCUGUGGUCUGCAUGUAAGAUAGAUGACAUCCUAGAACAAAGAAGCUGUUUUAACUUAAUCCCCCUGAUCAGCAGGAUAUCUGUGUGUUCAGUGACAUCAUACAUUCUGUAUCUAGAAGUCUAACAUUUCUGCCUUUCUCCUAAAGAAUGUGUUCUUGCAUUUUGGUUGAAAUAACCUACACAGUGUUAAAAAUCAGAUACCUCCUUUAGUGACCAGUUCAAAUUUUAAUAGCGAUAGGUAGCCCCUGAGAAAUUUAUCACUAUAACUCCACAGGAAAUAUGACUUGGAAGUGCUCUGUGUACUAAACAAAAUAAAGCCCCUCUUUGCAUUUAAAACCAAAGUCAAAACAAAACUCUUGUAAUGCAAUUAAUUAACUUUAUGUCUUCCCAUGACUCAAGUUUUGUUAAAUAUGCCCAAAAACUUUGAUUGGCAGUUUCUUCAGUUAAUUAUUCCUAUAGAAUGUAUUUUAAGAAAUCUAUACAAAUUGGAUAUAUGCUUGGUAAUUCCCCAGUUUCUAGGAGGUACCUAUUUCUACCGUUUCAAGUGAUGAAGUGAAAAUAAUUUACAUUCGAUAGUGUUACUGAUAACAAACCUACUUUUCUUAAGAGAUAUGUUGCUUUUUACUUAAGGGAUAGUGUUGAUAGAUAAAUUAGAAUGUAUAGAUAGGUUUGUGAAAGUCUAAAUAAUGGCUGUAUAGAUAUGUAUAUAUGGUUCACAUAUCUGGAUCUGUGUAUUUGAUUUUGUACUUUAAAUGUGACAAAUAAACCUUUUGGGAGAAAA
This 2534-nucleotide small RNA is filed under the name Pan troglodytes (chimpanzee). Its description in RNAcentral is "processed transcript". The record is from RNAcentral. Lineage: Eukaryota; Metazoa; Chordata; Mammalia; Primates; Hominidae.